CUCGAACACAGCUCUGCAGACUCACUUUUCUCAGACAAAAACCUUUUGAAGAGGACACGCUGUGAUUCGAGGUUCCAGGUUUUCAUCCUCCUCUGCCCGAACCGUUCACCGAGAGGCAAUCAUGUGAAAAGUGGUCAGCUCUCAAAGUGGUGAUAAAAGGCCCUAAAUGAGAAAGCAGAUGGAUGGAGACAGGCAGAAGGAGCGCUGCGGUCUGAUUCACACGCAGCAUCUUCUCUAUAAUUGCCUAUGGAAAUCAAAACAUUCCUCAUGUUCCUGCAGAUGAAGCAAAACCCCAAGGGUGAAACCUGCUGUGCUCGACUCCUGCUCGCUCUACCCCUCCAGGCAGCUGAUGAGCUACAAAGUCUCUCACCUCUCUGUGUCGUCAUUGUCCCAGGAGCCGGCUGACAGUGACUGACAGCUCCUGCACUUUUGCUUCUUGUGUGCCACGUCUUCUCCUGGAUGAGUGUGUGGGUUUAAUAUCUUUUUCAGUGAUGCCUCCUGUUCAAACAUCCAGGUAUGUGCUUGUAGCUGCAGGCGUACCCAGAAAAGUAGGUAUAGGAGGAACAUGUAUUAUUAUUUUUGAUUUAAUCACAAAAACAAAAGACCAAAAAUGAAAACCAGACGUGUUAUUCUGCUGGAUUUAAAGACCUAAAAUCAACAUCUUCAGGACCACAUAUUUUAACAUUUUUGAGCAUCUUCCAGAACUCGUAUCUUAUCAAUCAAUCAAUCAAUCAAUCAAUCAAUCAAUCAAUCAAUCAAUCAAUCAGACUUUAUCUGUAUUGUACUUUUCAUACAUUGAGAUGAAGCACAAACUACUUUAAUUUAAUUGUUAAUAAAAAUGAAUGAAUGAAUGAAUGAAUUAAUAAUAAUAAUAAUAAUAAUAAUUAUAAUAAUAAAUUAGCAAUAAUAAUAAUAAUAAUAAUAAUAAUAAUAAUAAUAAUAAUAAAAUAAAUAGAAAUUAAGAAAUUAAAAAAGGAAUAAAAUUAAUAAAUAUAAUAAUAAUAAUAAUAAUAAUAAUAAUAAUAAUUAAAAAAUUGAGCUAUAAAAUAAAUAAUAAUACUGAUAAUAAUAUUAUAUAAUAGUAUUAUAAUAUUAAUAAUAUAUAUAAUGUAAUAUUAAUAAAUAAUAAAGUUAAACAAAUGAAAUAAUAAUUAUAUAUAAAAAUAUUAAUAAAAAAUAAAAAUAAAUGAAUUAAUCAAUAAAUCAAACAAAAUAUGAUUCACAUAAUAAUAAUUUAGAAAACUUAGAAUAAAAAAAUAUGAAAAAUUUACACAUAUAUUACAAAAAAUAAAAAUAAAAAAUAUGUCACUCAGAACCUUAUCUAAUUCUGGACCACAUAUGAAUGUGCCCUAAAUCAGACUUAAUGGGCAGAAAAAAUCUCAUAUUUGGCCACACUUGCCUUCAACCCGAAGAUAAUUAACCCCAAGAAUCCACCUCCAUCUCUAUCUCUUCCUCUCCCAUGAUGCACCUCUGCUCUGGCGUAGGGGGACACCCUCAGCAGAGCCUGGGCUCCAUCACAUACCUGAAGGAUAAAAGUUAAUGACCUUAGCAUCUCAUUUUCUGGGGGGGCCCCGUCUUUGGCUUGUCUCCUCUCAAAAGCACCUUGCAGCUCAAUGGGACAGAACAGACGAGAGGAGUCACUCUGCCGUGGAACGUAUAAUGACAUCUUCCCUUAUAACCCAGAAUGGUUAUUGGCUAUAAAACUGCAAGAGCUCAUCUCAGAGAUCCAUGGUCAAAAAGGAGAUGAUGUGUGUGGUCAGGAGUGAGACAGCUGUCUCCGUCCUUUAGUCUGUCUCUCUCCAUCCUUGUCUUAAAGGCGUUCGAGGAUGAGCCGAGCGCUCCACUCCAACUGCUGCGACUACAUUUGAAACCUUUCACAUCUGCCCCCGCUCUGUUUAUGACUCACUUGUACUCACACCACAGUAUGAAUGCUAAUGUUAACAGCUAGCGUGAUCCUGCCACAGAGCAUUAUGGCGAAGUAUCGAGGGGUUGUAAAUCAGAGCCGCAGAGGCACUCGAAGGAGGCUGAAAUUAAAAAAGCGUUUCCUCCCAUCAGCAUGAGAAGUGAAAGUGUACACCAGGAAACAGAGAAACAGGCGUUCACCGUGUCAGCUCUAAGCUCACACAUCCAGAGCUGUUAGCUGCAGCUACUUUAACCCUGACUGUUCGGUUGGGUGCGGGCCAACGCUUUUAGUCAUCGGCCCGAAUUUUCACCUCACUCCCUCUCUUUCUGUUGUGAGAUAUAGCCUUGGCGGAGCUCCCGAGCUUAAAUGGCUGAUUUGCAGUGGGUUAACUGGAGAAUGGGAGGGUGAAGUCAUAUAUAUUGUGUGUGGGGAGGCUUAGCUGAGUGGUAGAUCAAUUUGGGAGAAUAAAGAAGGAGCCAGAUGGGCCGCUGGAACCCGGUCCAAAGGAGAUGAGGUAAAAAAGCAGUAGAUGAAGAGCCCAGGUAUUUAUCACCCCUGAAGCCUGAAUAUAAAAUGUGUUUGAAUGUAUAUUGGCUGAUUUUAUGAAAAUACCACGACGGAGAAAAACCCCACAGGCUGAUGAAAAUGUUGGACUGUCACCUCCGAGUACAGUCGAUCAAUCACUCGGGUUUUAUUUGCGUAACACUGUUCCUACCAAUUAACGUAACACAAAGUGCUCUCACUGAAUAACCCCGCUGUGUGGACGGAUAAUGAAAUGAAGUGAUAUAUGUGACACUGAUGAAUAAUGGCAGCAUUAAACAAAACAGGAACAGCACAAACUCUGCUGUAAAUGCACCUGCAUCAAACUACACCGAGUCGAGCUGACUAAGGACAUAAUUAAGUGACGCUAAAUCAAGAAUCUGACGCCAACACAAAUUAACAGGAGGGCGGAGAAACCUUAUCGGACUUUGAGCCGGACCAAGAACAAAUUUAGCUUUUAAUAUCAACCACAAAAACACAAAGUAUUUCAAUGGGAGUUUACUCAGUGUAGCACGUGAAAACUGCAGUACCUCAAACGUCCACUUGGGGCUUUCUGCAGAAGAUGUUAAAUCCUCAUUAAGGCCCAUAUUAAAAUGCUUCUUUAUUCAGCAGAAUGAAGCGUGUUUGCAGCUUGGAUCAAGAUAAUUUUUUCUCUCUAUAUCACAAAAUAGUAUGCCACGUUUUUUUUGAAAUGCAGGAUUUUAACUAUACGAAGGUAGGAUGACCAUACAUCCUCUUUUAACCGGACAUGUCCUCUUUUUUUGAGGGCUGUCUGGCCUUGUCUGGCUUUGUUUGGGGCAGUUUAUAAAAUCCUUUAAAUGUCCAGGGUUUUGUAUGGAAGUUUUGAGUUUGUGCACGUGGACUUACUGUGUUAGAAGCAUGUAAAAGAAACCUUGAUCUGACCCGAAAAAAUCUCAAAAUUAACAACUCAUCUGCAGUUCCUUAAGUGUCCACUAGAGGCUGGCUGACUAAAACUAGUUUAGGUCCAAUCAGUUCAUUACUAGUUCAUCAUUCUCUGUUUUGGGGUGAAUUUUACCAAUUAAGGGGAUAUUAUGGCGUAAGACGCAGUUAAAGGAAAUACAAUUCUUCAUGGAAAUACAAUCAGACCGAGACGCUAAGGCAGAAGAACUACCGCGUCUGCAGAGAAAAAUGAUUAAUAUGAAAUGAUAAAGAAAUAAUCAUAAAUGUUCUUCCUUGAGCUGCGGCACCCCGCUGUAGUUUGUAAUGGACUGGCCUGAAGUCUCACUACAAACAAGCGGCUGCUGGAAGAGAGUAGGUGAGUUGUGUUUAGUCUCUUUGCUAAAGGAAUGAGUCAAAGUUAAAAAGAUGUUUGGUGUCUAGUACUAUGUCUGUGACCCUAUAUGUCCUGUUGAUGAAGUUAGGUGCUGUUCUGAGCAUUAUUUGUGGCUAUAGAGUGGCGUUUUGGUUGAGGGCGUGGCUCUCUGUAUUGCUAUCCUGCGGUCGUUACAAAAGUUGGUAUAACUUUACGCUGGAAUAUCCCUUUAAUAAGUUUUGAAGAUUUUUAAGCUUUGCAUAAUUUCACCAUUUUGCUAGCAUGACUAAAAUUUAGGUUGAGUCAGUGUUUCUAGUUUGGCGACCAACAUUGAUGCUACUGUGAAGACCAAUGGGUGACAUUACUGAGGCUUCAUCCAUGUUUAAUACUGUCUGCAAUAAAUGAAGCUUUAAAAUAGUUUUGGUAGGUAACAUCAUCAUUUCUGGAAAUCCUUUCUCCUUAUUUUCUAGUCUUUUCAUCCCCGACUGAGCUGAAAUCUCAAAUUAACCAACACAAGACUGUUUCUAAAAAACAUCUGAAGGUUCGACACUCGUGUUUCUCCAUCUCUAACAAAGUGCUUGAGUAUCUUUCUUGUCGUAGAGCAGGACUUCACUGGAGUGUUGGGAUUUCCUUAUUACUUCCCUUUCAAAUUAAUUUCGUCUCGCACAGAUACGCACAACAGCGAGACAAUAAAAGGGACUAAAAGCCGUUCAUAAGCUGUACAAAUCACAAAUAUUACACCGCACUCAGACGCAUAAAAAAGCCACUAAACACAAAUACAAUUACCGCAAAGUACAUUUUACAAACGCGGCUGAAGGUGAGAGUUAAAAUCCUGGAAAUGUAGUUUAGAAUGAUCCUCAGCGGGGAAUUACAGUAGUCUAAUGGUCUGGUUAGGAAGGUAAGGAUAACAGUUUCCAGAUGUUUGGAGGGAGGAAUGAUCUCAUGCCUUAAAUGUUUCUAAGAUGAUAAUAGCAGGAUGGAAGCGCUGAGUUAUCAUGUCUGUCUAAACCCAGGUUUCGCACGAAUCACUCCAAGAUUUCUGCAGAAAGAAAGACUCAUGCUUUAAAUUUCUAAAAUCCUUUUGCAUGAAAUAAAGGGAAAAAAAAGAUUAUUUUUAUAGGCCAAGCAAAGUAAUCCUCUGUCUCAGAGCUGCAGCAGCAAUAUGUCCUCUUGUUCCAGAGCUAAAAAUCGAUGCACGUCUCUUAACAUGCCUCAAAUCUCCACUUGUUGUGGUAGUAAAUAAGCAACGCACGCAGACGUCUUAUCUGUUUGAUACAAACUCGAUGUAAGAUGUAAGAUGUAGGGGAAACUGCCCAGACCCAUUACACUAAUCACACAUCAGCUUCGGCUGAGAAGGUGAAAUCUCAGGACCUUUAGUUCUGUUCAAUUAAACCGCAGCGGCUCGUAAAACGAAGCAAUCAAACCGAGGAUCGAUGGCGGCUCAGACCUCGUCUCGCCACGCCCAGGCUCACCGCAAUCUGGCCUGUAAAUCAGAGUGUGCGUGUGUGUGUGUGUGUGUGUGUGUGUGUGUGUGUGUGUGUGUGUGUGUGUGUGUGUGUGUGUGUGUGUGUGUUUGGGAGAGGGCGAGGGAAUGAAGCACAGGCCAGAGGCACGAGCCCAGAGUGUCGUCUCUUUCAUUUUCAGACAGGGAGGGAGAGUCAGGCUGAUGGAGAGCUGCAGCUCCAGGGAUGAAGGACAGGCCGACCCUCAGCUUCACGCACACACACACACUCACACACACACACACUCAUUUCCACAUUAACAUUAACCCCGGCACCAUUACCACUGUGAAGUGCUAUUAAGAGGCAGACGCGAGGCCGAGGGGAGCAGAUAUUACCAAACUGUCUCCUCCUCUCAGUCUGCAGCUCAUCUCGCGACUCUCUGACAGACGGGAAGGGAAACCCGCCAUGAUGGACUGAGCGGGGUCGACUUAACGGGCCUGAUUUUAUAGUUUGAUUAUUUAAAGGCAUUUAUAUCACCUUAUUAUACACAGUUUAAUUUAGAUUUGCUUCAGGGAAACAUUUCCACUGAUCCCAAAGGUGUGACAGGAUAAAACACGAAGCAGAAGAAGAAAUAAACGAGGAGAGAAAUGUUCACUUUAAAUAUUAUGUUUGAUGUUUUUUGCAUUUUGUGGAAAAAGUAAAAUGUCAAGAAUAAAAAAACAAAGUUUUGAAGACAAAUCAGAAAAGGAGGUAUUUGACAUUUUCACUUUCUUUUUAACAUUUAAUUCAUUUUUCUUAAACUCAAAGAAAACUCAGGAUGAAUUAAACUUUGCCUGAGAAUAAACUUUUAGAUUUUUAUUUUGACAAAACCCUUACACUGGAUUUCCACUUAUGUAUGACAUCUGUAGAUCCAUAUAAAUAUGUGAUACCUCUAGUGUCCAACGCAAGGAACUGCAUCUCUUUACAGAUGGAUAGAAACUGUGAAUCGACCUGAGAGUAUAAUCUUAAAUCUGGAUUAUUUCACAUCAAAUUGACGAAGAUAAUUUGUGUGUUUAAAACAAAUAAUCAUAUUCUAGCAGAAUAUUGUUACUCUGAUUCACACGCUCUUUUUUUAAUCUUAUGAUCUCACAAAAAAAGCAGCUGCAGGUUUAACGGAGAGUUUUCUUUGCCUUCACUGGGAGAUUAUAUUUGUACCAUUGUUAUUCACCAGGAUUUACACAAAUCCUUCAUUGUUUUGAUUACGCCGGCCCACUCGAAGGUCUAAUAAUACCAAUCUGAAAAUAAGAGCCCAUGAAACAUCCAACAUGUGUAAAUGUUUAGCAGAAUGUAAAUAACCGCUCUAAAAUAAAGGAUAUGACCCGAGCGACUGAGGAGAUUUAGGAAACAUGUUCGGGGAGAGGUUUAGGGGGAGGAAAUGACGAGGACAGGGUCUGUCUGAAGGACGGAGGACUUAGACAUAAUACAGCAAACACCUGAAACCACCUCAGAUUGAAACGCAGAUUUAUGGCGGUGCAGUUUUUGGACUGAUGUCGAAGUUUGACUCUUAAAAACCUGAUAUAAUUACAGUGUUUGGGCUGAGUCAAAUAUUUCGACGUAUAUUUGGAGCAGGUCUGAUCGAUUUUAGCUGCUGUGAGUUAACAAGUUUGUGGCGUUAAAGGGCUCUUAAAAACAGGCGCAGGAGUAAUGACUUUCCCAUCCCCUGGUGUCCGUUACCUGUCACAUUCGGUGUUUUUAUUGUCCAGACGCGUGUCUCAUUUCUUGUUAUUUCUAGGGUUAAAAAAGCAGGAGAGGGAAGAUUCUCAGGAAGAGGAGACGUCAAAAACACUUACCUUCACUGGAGUUAAUAUUUGUGUCUCGCUUUUAGGCGUCGCCGCCCAGCGGGAUGGCGGGGGGGCCCUGCCUGAACUACUUUUUUAUUUAGUUUGAAAACACGUUCAUCAAUCAACCAAGUCUGAACGCGGGGACGAGCCAUUCAGAGACAGCAGGCCUGAGAGUAACCAACACAAACAAACAGAGGCGUACAGAGACGAGUGUGUUUCUCCUGAUCGCACAUAUGAAGGCGGCGGGAAUUCAACAUCACAUUCCCUCGUGUUUUCCUCUUUCAUUAAAUAAAUGAAGCGCACAUGAGCGUCUGAGUCACUUUCCCCGCUCUGUAUACUUUCCCAUCAAUAAACGGGCGUUGUAAUUCACCUGUUUGUUUUUACGUGUUGUAGCUGCUCCAGUCUCGGUGACGGCACACACGGCUGUUUGCUCUGCUUUAAUUCUGAGCUGCUGUCAACAUCAAAGCUGUAAUUAUGCAAUAAACUCUGAGAGUCUCUGCGUCUUCAGCCCGCCGCCGCCGCUGCUGUCAGGUGUGGGACGGUUUGCCUAAAGGUUUGUUGUGUUUGCCGUCUUUGAUUUGGCUGCCGCUGUCCUCCAUGAUCCAGUCAGAAAUGAAGGCGGAUACGCUGACUGUGUGGUAUUUAAGAGGGAUUGCUGGGAGUUGUCGGAGAGCCCGCUCUGGCAGGUUGCUGUUGUAAUUGUCAUGUAAACAUAUUUGCUUUGGUGUUGUAGUCUGUGACGAUAAACAGAGGAGCAUGCACAGAGAGUCUAAUGAAGUUGGUCUGUGUUUGGGGAGUGAAGCACGCUUUUGUUUGGUGAAACUCGGAAACUCCAGGAUCUAAAAUAAAGCAGACGAUGACGUGAUGGAUCUCAACUUAGACUGUGUUUGUUCUACAGAGGCCCUGAGAGGACAAAAAAGUGGCCUCAAAUUGUCUGCAUUUAGGACUUAAGAACAGGCGUUUAUUAUCUUUUCUGGUGUAAUCUUCGUCUCUGAACUUGUUUGUUAUUUUGAGAAAGGUUUUCUCUUCGUGAUAAUCGUGGCCAAAAUAUAUCACAGUAGCAGUAUAAUUUGAGUAUUUCUGGAAAUGUUUUAAAUAAGAGAAAACUGUCAAAUUCUAAUCUGAACUAAUGAACAAAAUUCAUUUAAUUGUUAUCAUGCAUUUCUUAAAAUAUUCAAAUUUGUGUUUUAGCAUCAACCCUGUGACUAACUUUGGAGAAGAUAUUAGCUGUGUCCGAAAUGAAUCACUCAGUCCCUAACCCUCAUAUGGGGUUUCACUAUAUAGCUGACUAUGUAUUGAGCUCAAUCACUGGAGGUUUCGGACACUACAUGCCGCACCGUUGUGACGUCACUGCUCAGACUGAAGUUUUGGCCGUUGUUUUUUUGCAUUUUGCAACGCUCUAUGAGAAAUUUUGAGUCGCCUAUAUGGGGCAUUGGAAUUGAUCACUCAGGUUUCAGACACCCCUCAAAAUGGCACUAACCCCUAUAUAGUCGCCUAUAUAGGGUAUAGGGAUCCAUUUUGGACACAAAAUUGAAAAUUUACCUUACUUUAAUGUAGCCAUCAUUGUCAAACUAUGCUUUUAUUUUGAAGUACUGACUUCAAAAUAAAGUAUACAGCUUCUUAAACAUUAGUUUUGAAAGCCUCUAGCUCACUCGCAGUCUGCUACUUCUUCUUCGUCUAUCCUCCAUUUCUAUAGCACUCAUUCAGUUUUGUACUUUUAUUCCAUGAAGUUUAUUGUCUAUUACAAAAAGUUUUUUAAACCUUGAUUGAAGCCAAAAUGAAGCUGAAACCUCCAAAUGUGGAAAUUAGGAAACUUGCAGUUCUUUGAGGAGCCUCUAGGGGGUCACUCCAAAAGUGAGUCGAUCCCCAAAAUGUUGCAAAUUGAAAUUCCCACCUUUACAGCUGGCGUUAACUGGCUGUUGGCCAGUGUUAGGGUUACCCAGCAUGUUUGUUUGGACGUUGGUUUCACAUAGAUUAACUGUUCAUGUUGAUGAAAGUCAAGGUUGUUGUCGGACUUUCUUCACCUGAUGAUUGGUUGAUGAAGGCCUUGGUGUGUCAUUUACAGCCUCUAUCUGUUUCUGUAGCUUUAAUUCAUUUAUAACUUUAUCUCAUUUACCGUUUUAAUCGUCAUAUCUCAGCCUUAAACUUCUAUCUCCUUCUUUUUACGCUC
Molecule: long non-coding RNA, 9148 nt
Filed under: Xyrichtys novacula (pearly razorfish)
Lineage: Eukaryota; Metazoa; Chordata; Actinopteri; Labriformes; Labridae
Source: RNAcentral